GACGACAUUUUUGUUGCUUGUUAGAGAAAAGUUUCUAUCCGAAAGAAUCGGCUUUAUUUCAAAAUUUUGGUCAUUAAAUUAAACUGAAUUACAUCUAAAAGGAUCAUUUAAUACUCGAUCCUCAAAAUCUAAUUCGAAAAAUUUAUAUUUGAGACAGAAUUACGUCUCAUUCUAUCGGAAUCAAAAACUAUUGAAUUCGACUUAGUUAUUUAUUACUACAAUAUUCAUAAUAUAAAUUCAAAAUCGACAUUGUUGUUUAUCAGGAAUGAUAAUGAAGCAAAAUUAUUAAAAAUUGGUCGAAAAUUUAUACCUUUUAAAGGUAAAAUACGCCGUAAAUUCAGAUUGCAUUUUGUGAGGGAUAUAAUAACAAGAUGGCGGAUGCUGUGUAGGAAGACAAUCGGAUUCGUAAUAUGCCGAGUUCUGAGGAACACCGAUGCCGUAAACGUACGCAUGAUAAAUCGCCUGACAGAAAUCCAUCAACUUCUGGUCACGGAAAAUCCAAACGGCCACGAAAUGAAAGUAGCCACAGGAAGAUGAAAAAAUCUGGUCAUAAACCACAUAAGAAAAAGCAUUCCAAAGAACCCGAAAGACCCAUUACUUCUCUCAAGCCCCUAGUGGAAUAUGACGAUGUCAGUUCAGAUUCUUCUCUUUUCUCAGACAAUCCAGAGUUGUCGCCGGUUCACCACAAGACCAAACUGUCACCAGAUAGGAGUCUAGAUAUGGAGAGAGAGAGAAGACGGAGGAGUAAACAGCACGACCAUCCUCGUUCACCUAGUAUGUCUCGAUCACGCCAUUCUAUGUAUAUACCUGGAGAAAUGGAAAGAACUAGACUUUCCUCACCUGAUAGGAAAGAAAGAGAUAGGAGAAGAGAGAAAAAUUUAAGAGAUGUGCCACCUGCUCAUUUUCAUAGAAGAGAGAAGGAUUAUCAGAGAAACUUUAUGCCUUCUUAUCGUGAAACUAAUUUUGAACCAAUUCCACAUUCCUACAUGGAUUUAGAUUAUUAUGAACGAUUUGAUCGCAGAGGAGAUAGGGAUAGUGACUGUGAUCGAUCUUAUAGGAGGAGAUCUCGAACUCCUGAAGCGCCACGUGCUUAUCGUAAUAGAUCUCCUUCUCCUCCUAGUCCUCAGUUUCAUAUGUCAAAAUAUAGACGUUCCCCAGAUAUGUGGGAUAGAUCUCGGAAUUUUUCAAGUCCCAGUCCUCCAUAUUACAGGAAGAUGUCUUGGUCUAAAAGUCGUAGCAGAAGUCGAAGUCCAGUAAGGCAACAUAGGAAUAGAACAAAAAGAAAGCGAAGAUCUAGAAGCAGAUCUCGAAGUCCUGUAGUUAGGUCUAGGUCAAGAAGAUCAAGAAGUAAAUCUCGUUCACGUUCUCCUUACUCUGUUUCCAGGAGAAGAAAGAGAAGUUCUAGUAUUGAUUCAAAAUUUGCUGUCAGUUUAGUAGCUGAAUUACUUAGCAAUCGGAAAAAAGCCAAAAAACCUUCGAGGCCACUUGUAGCAAAUGAACAAAAAGAGGAGACUGAAAAAGAAAAUGGUGGUAUUGCACCUGAAAGUUCAAAAUCAUCUCCACUUCCAUCCUCAACAGAAACAACUCAGUCCACCUCCGCAGCAGCUGAUGUGAAGAGUGUUGACACACCUAAAGAAACUGAACUAGUAAAAGAACCACCUAAAGAAGAAGCAAAACCACCAUUACCACCACCUCCAGUUGAAAAACCACCUCUUCCUCCUCUUCCUACAUUACCUCCAUUACCAUUACCACCAGGUGUUCAGCCAGAAGAUAUAUUAGAUGACAUUGAUUCUCCUGCUCCAGAAGAAUCUUCCACGCCUCCAAGGAAAGGAAUAAAGGAACUCCCUAUGCCACCUGGAAUGAAACCUGAAGAUAUUAUGUCCCCUGAACCAGAGCAAGACAGAUCCCCAUACGGACAGUCUUCGCCUUCCACUGUUCUUCGACCAGUUGUUGUCAAUAAAAUGUACAAUGAGUUUAAUCGAUCUCCAAAUUGGGGUGAACGCUGUGUUGAUGUAUUUGAUAUCAUAUGUCAAAUUGGAGAAGGUACAUAUGGACAAGUUUACAAAGCAAAAGAUUGCGAUACUGGUGAACUAGUAGCUCUGAAGAAAGUGAGAUUAGAAAAUGAAAAAGAAGGUUUUCCAAUAACAGCAGUUAGAGAAAUAAAAAUACUCAGACAGCUUAAUCAUCCAAGUAUAGUAAAUUUAAAAGAAAUAGUUACAGAUAAACAAGAUGCUUUGGAUUUUAAGAAGGAUAAAGGUGCAUUUUAUUUAGUGUUCGAAUAUAUGGAUCAUGAUUUAAUGGGGCUUCUGGAGUCAGGAUUGGUAGACUUUACAAAAGAACAUAUUGCAUCAUUUAUGAAACAGUUACUAGAUGGUUUAAAUUAUUGUCAUCAAAAGAAUUUUCUUCAUCGUGAUAUUAAAUGUUCCAAUAUACUUAUGAAUAAUAGGGGUCAGAUUAAGUUGGCUGAUUUUGGUUUGGCCCGGUUAUAUAGUGCUGAUGAUAAAAUGAGACCAUAUACAAAUAAAGUUAUUACACUAUGGUAUCGUCCACCUGAAUUACUUUUAGGUGAGGAGAGGUAUGGACCAGCCAUAGAUGUCUGGAGUUGUGGGUGCAUUCUUGGCGAAUUAUUCACAAAGAAACCAAUAUUCCAGGCAAACCAAGAAAUGGCCCAGCUGGAAAGGAUUAGUUAUAUUUGUGGUACUCCGUGUCCUGCUGUAUGGCCUAAAGUAAUACAUUUACCACAUUGGCAUACUUUCAAACCUAAAAAGCCAUACAGAAGAAAGAUAAGAGAUGAAUUCUCUUUAAUGCCACCACCUGCCUUAGAUUUAUUAGACCAAAUGUUAGAAUUGGAUCCAGAAAAAAGAAUUACUGCUGAGAGUGCCUUGAAAUGUCCUUGGUUAAAAGAUAUUCAUCCAGAAUGUAUGGAACCUCCAGAUUUGCCACAUUGGCAAGAUUGUCAUGAAAUGUGGUCAAAGAGAAGACGACGACAAAUGAGGUUGGAGCAAGAAGCUAUAGCUGCUGGAAUAAAUCCAAAUAUGAUGGCAAAUCAACCAUCUGACAUGUCUUCUGGGCCCAUAAGUAAUAAUCUUUCACAACCAAAUCAGCCAGUGAAUCGACGUAAUCGUGGACCUGCAAGUGAAAGUUGGUCUGGAGGAACCGAUAGUACAGUAGAAAAUGAAAAAGUAUCAAACUAUGGUGAUGUCAGAGAACCAACAACAGGAAAGGAGGAAUUGAAAAAAUCCACUGGUCAAGAUGUAAAUACUGAAGGUUGUAGUCAAUCAUCACAAAUUCAGUUUGAUGAUAAUCUUAAGGCUGUUAUAAAUACUUUCCAAAAGCAACAAGGUCUAAAUAUUGGACAACUUGCUAGUCUUCUUAAUGUAAAGGUUGAUUCAAAUACAACACAGUUGUUAGAAACAUUAAAUAUACGCUGGCUGUUAGAAGCAGCAACUAAACAACCUCAGGAAAUGACUCAGAGAGGAAAUCAGAGGUUAGGUUUUGAAUCAUCACAGUCUUCAAGUAGUCUGGGAGAUCAGUCAACAAGUGGAAAACAAGAUAAAUUAGGAUGUAAAGAUAUUUGUGAUGAAAAAAAAGAUGGAAUAGCACCAUCACAUUCAGGGCGAUUUGGAAUCCCUAGGGAAGAUAGGCAAUCUCUUGGAGAACAGUGUUUUAAUCCUGGAUAUAGAAAUGAUCAUCCCAAAGGGUUUGUAGAUAAAGGAAGCUUACAAACAACUUCAAACAUCAGUGGACAACCUGUAUCUAAUGACAGAUAUAGUGACAAUAUACAAGGCACUAAUUUUUCUUUAUCUGAUGUGAAAGCGGCAUUGGCUGAACUACUAGCUGUCCAAGGAAACCAGGUAGUUAUACCUGCGACAAAUCCAGAUACAAUAACAACAGAGGAAAAUUGAUAUGAAAGUAGAAGAUGCAAAAAUAGUAAUUUUGGAACAGAAGAAAGAACUAGAAACAACUUGAAUUCUGAUGAUGAUCUACAUUUAUAUACUUAUUGAUUGUGAAAAAAAUAAAAUAACUGUAAUGCAAUGUGCAAUGUUUUCAUUCCAAAUAUUAAAUAUUGAUUGUAAAAUAUUACAAUGCUGUAUGAAGUAGAUAAGGUAAUUAGAUAUUUGGUUUGAGUUGAUUGCACAGCUGUGUCAGUAGUAUAUUUUUCAAGUACAGAUACCCCACAUUACAUUACUUAUCUUUUAUGAAAGCUCUUUAUUAUUACUUGUUUUUGCUAACAGAAAAAUCUGAAGAGGAGUUUUACUUUUAUGAAAAAAGAUGAAAAACAAAACUAGCAUUUAGAGUCAUUGUAUACUUUGAACAGCAAGAGCAGCUUCUAAACUUUUUCACUGGAAGCUACACAUAGCAUCAAGCUGCCACAACUUUGAACUAUGUCUGUUAGCAUCUAUGCUUUUUAUGUCAAUUUAUUUGCACAUCCAUUAGUAAAAAUGCAGCAAGGAAAUGUUAAGUCCAUUGCUUGAGUUGAAUGUUGGGUGUACUAAGAUGGUGUUACAUCUUAAUGUAAGAAGAAAUCAGUUAGUCUUUUUGAUAAGCAGAGACAGAAUGGACGAUGGCAAUGAAAGUAUUGCAAAAGUGGAAUUUAAAGUUAGCCCCGUGUGGUUGGUUGGUUUUUUCAAACAAGGGCAGUUUUGUACUGCUGGUGAAGUUUCAUUAACUAUACUGUACUUACGUUUCUACUUUUUAUAUGUUGUGUACUUACCCUAUCAUUCCUAUUUUUAUUACAUAUUAUUAUUAUUUUAUGUUUUAUGGGUUUAAUAAGUUAAUUUUGAGUCAAGUAAUGGUAAAAAAUUUUCCAGUAUAAAUUAAUGGUAAUUGCUUCUUUGCUUUAUGCCAUUUCAGCUUAGAAAAGGUUUCAUGGAAAACUCUGCUUUUGGAUAGUUGGGACCUUGUAUCUGGGGUUUUUUUAGUUGUUAAAGAAAAUAUAAAAAACGAGUCAAGAUCAUUAAAACAAUAAAGAAAUAGAAGUCAAGUUUAAGAGAGAAUUUUAGAAGUGAUUAUUACAUUGAAGGAAGACAACUGAUAAGUCACUGAUCUACAGAAGUAUAGAAUAUAAAUCUCAAGAGUUUAGUGAAUGAAAAUGAAAAAUGGAUGAAUUUAAUUGGGUAUUUCAGAUCAUUUAGUAAUGCUGCAAAUAAUUUAAUUAAGAUUUUCAAAUGGUAAAUGAAAUUUUUAAAAGCACAAUGACUGAAAGGAGAAUUCAGUUUUUAGUAUAUUAACUAACUUUGACUAUGAGCUUAUUUACAGAUAGACAUGAGGUGAGAUUGAUACUUGUUAUCAAAGGAAAAAUAAAUAAAAUAAUAUUGAAUAUUGAAAUAAAUGUUCUCUAAAAGGAAGAUUUCAAAAUACUUAAGAAUGUGAAUUAUUAUUUUUUCCUCUAAUGAUGAUUAAUUUAUUGUGAAAAUACACUUGUUUUUCUUAAAAUAAUAUUCAAGUUCACAACUGAAAUAAUAUUGCUUAAUGCACAAUUUUUAUUAUUUUGAGCAUGUAGAGAACUGUUUAAUGUUUAACAAUGAUGAAUUCUUUUCUCUUGGAUUUUUAACAUAAGACUUGGCAAACCAAGUCGGAGCUGGAUAAAUUGGUUAUGUAUGAUAUUUUCUGAGUUACACUUGUAUAUCUGUUCAGUAAUUCAUUAAGUUUCGCGUGACAGCAUUUCAUUUCAGCUUUUGCAGAAGUAAAUGAAUGCCCUUAAGUUUUUUGAGUAAAAUAUUUCUUACCUAAAUUAUCUUAAGUGGAAAUAUAUUGGAAGCAACAAAUUUAACUAAAAAUAUGUAUAAUAAAUUCAUUUUGGUUGUUGCUUUAAUUCUCCAUAAUAUUAAACUACCCAUAAUUCGGAAAACUAAAAAUGAGGGGAAAAAUCAAGAAAUGUGAUGGGUUCAAGAAUUUUGUCUUAUUAUAGUUUUGCAAUUGAAAUCUUUGUCAUACGUUUAAGCAGUUUACUAGGGUACGUAGUCUUCUUGGAAGAUAAAUGAAGAACUUAAAAUUUUACGAGUGGUUAAUAUGUAAAUAAUAAUUUGGAUUAUAAGUAAACAUUUUAAAGGUAAGUCAAUGUUAAAAAUUCUGUGUAUAUUUGCCUAUGUAUAAUUUUUAAUCUCGAUCAUUCCUUAUGACCGUAGGAGAAAAAAAAUUUUUGGAAUUUUAUAUUGAACCUUUGCAUUACUACCAUUACUUAUAUAUCUAAAUGCUUGCGAAAGAUUGCAUGUUUGUCGUCUUGUUAAGAUUUUUGCCAAGUAACAUUAAAAAAAAAUUCAAAAAGUAAACUAUGACGUUAUCCAUUUUCAAUUCUCUCCUUAGGUUCAUGCAGAGGAAUGUUACUUAAUUAAAAAUUACACUAGUGUAUAUGUGUAAAGAGACUUUUGACUGGUCUAAAAUAGUUUUGAACUUGUAACGAAAUUUUUCAACUGGAAAGAUGAAAUAUUUCAUAUACAAAAUUUUUUGACUGGGUGAAGAUGAGAAACAAUGAAAGUUAAUCAUCACAAGUCCGUGAUCUUUCCGUUUAUGAUUGUUCAAAGAGAAAGAAACUUUAAAAGGCGGUAUUUUCUUGUAAUCGAAAAAUUUCGUUAUUAGUAAUAAUUACCUUUAAUUGAAUUAGAGAAAAUUAUUACACGUAUCGAUGUGAGGUGUGUGUAUUUAUAUGAUGGUAUGAAAACGGGUAUAUCUGUUUAAUUGUAAUUAUCUAUUUUUCACGUACGUAAUUUAUUUCAAGUAGUUACUCAAAAAGUUUUGAUAACAGUAAGAGAUAUAGUAAUAUUACUAAGAAAAUACUUAAAUUUCUUGUUAUGUUUGUCACAACAUUGCUAAAUGUAUUUUUUUUUUAAUGGAAAUGACUUCACAAGAAUUUUUAGUAAGUUUCUUCGUGUUUUCAGUCAUCAAUAAUCAAUUUGAACCGUCGAGAAAAUCGAGUUAGUUCAUUAAUUAGAAAGUUAUAAAGUAUCUGUUAAAACAGUAGCAUUGUACCGUUGAAGGUGCAUAUCUGAUAUUGAAUAUAAAAAAUAUUUUAUUAUUAGCGAUGUCAACAUGCAAGACGUGUCUGGAAACUUAAAAUAAUUAAAAAAUCGUGUUUAUGCUGGUUCGUUUUAAAAAAUAUUGCCGUUUAUUGCAUUAAAAAUUCACUUUUGGAUAAAUUAUCGUUGAUAAAAACAGUAUGGCUAUUAUAAAAAUUAAUUUUGUUAACAAUACAUUUUUAUUGUUUUCUGUUUUAUUGUCCGUUUUGUGUAUUAAUUGAUGCACUAAAAGUUACGACACGUAAAAAAGUUGUUUCAUUAUCAAUGAAAUCAGUCGAGCUAUGAUGAUACUGAAUUCAGUAUUAAACUUCUUGAGUAACGCAAAACUGAAAAUGCAGAACGGUAUCUCUCAAUAUCGAAUUAGGGGGGAAAAUUCAAAGUACACAAAUAAGGAAAACGAAGACACGUAAUUUUUGUAAUGAAUGUGGUUGAACGGGCGUUAAAGAAAAGUGAUGAGUCUUGCAUAUAGUACAGAUGGAUCUUCAAGCAUAGAAGAGUUAGCAUAAUUGCUAAUGUUGUCGCUUCCGCCGGGAUUGCAGUUGGAACUACGACGGGAGUCACGGAAAUUAUGCUAGGGGGAAAAAUAAAUAAAUAUAAAUGGAAAGUUUUAAAUUGUGCAACUAGACGGAAAUUGAAAUUCUCAAUAGACAACAAAAUAAAGAUUCAGGUGAGCAACAAGAUCUAUGGUCACUUGAUGUUUGAUUAUUAAUCAGUGUUAUGUCGUCGAUAAAAAGAAUUUAUAAUAAUUUGGCCGUUAAUUCCCUCUGUACAUAUGAAAAUAUCUCGUGAGUGAAUGACUUUUGUUAUUUGAUUGAAUGCAAUCUUAUUUUGAUUUUUUUUUUAUUAGUAAUAAUAUACAACAAGUUCUUUGUAUAUCUGUUUUGUUUACAUAAAAUUAGAAUUGGAAAAUUUAUUUUCGUAAGGUGUAUCCAUACAGUCUGCAAAAUGUUAAGUUAUAAAGAAGUGUGCCUCGACUAAUAAUUUUUGCUCCAUAAAACUCUCUAAAUUGAGAGUAUGAAUCUGUUAAAAAUAAAAAAUUGUGGGUAAACAUUUUUGUGUGUAUAUAAUGCUUGUAAUUUUUUUAAAAUAUUUACUUAAAUUUAGAUAAUUAAUAGGCAAUGUUUCUAAUCUGCAAUGUUCCAUCACAAAAAUCAGUAAAAGUUUAAUGUUAUAUUUUGGGAGAGUCUGUGAUUUAAAUUAUUUGUACUCAAGUAAGAUGGCAGUUGUCUCAACAUCCAGAAGCCACGGCAACGGUCUUUCCAUCAUCCCAGAAUCAGCAAGAAGUGAUUUGGUCAAUAAUUUAUCUACUUCCAGUCAAUGAAAAAGUUUGAUGUGUAAUAAUUACUAUUGAUGAAAAAGUAGACAGUCAGACGUGUACAUGUGGAAUGGAAUAAAAUUGUCAAGAAAC
This is an RNA transcript of Centruroides sculpturatus (bark scorpion), 8424 nucleotides long. It is a transcript of the gene named cyclin-dependent kinase 12-like, with no coding region annotated. NCBI's taxonomy places the organism in Eukaryota, Metazoa, Arthropoda, Arachnida, Scorpiones, Buthidae. The record is from RefSeq and is a predicted model, not a curated record. The transcript is spliced from 16 exons.